GUCUGGUGAUGAUGGCGAAGAGGUCACACCCGUUCCCAUACCGAACACGGAAGUUAAGCUCUUCAGCGCCGAUGGUAGUUGGGGGUUUCCCCCUGUGAGAGUAGGACGCCGCCAAGC
This 117-nucleotide ribosomal RNA is filed under the name Bacillus safensis. The record is from RNAcentral. Lineage: Bacteria; Bacillati; Bacillota; Bacilli; Caryophanales; Bacillaceae.